RNAcentral lists this long non-coding RNA (782 nucleotides) under Anser brachyrhynchus (Pink-footed goose). RNAcentral describes it as "lncRNA (ENSABRG00000008074.1)". Lineage: Eukaryota; Metazoa; Chordata; Aves; Anseriformes; Anatidae. The record is from RNAcentral.
CUUAUAAUGGUUCAUUAGCCUAUUGCUCUGCCAUGCGCUGUAGCUUAAUUAGUUGUGGCUCUACCACACACAGCAGAAGAUGGCUUGGGACACUGACAUUCACAACAGAUAAUCAGAUACUGCAGAACAGAGAAAGGAAACAUACAUGAUUCAAGAGAUUCGUAUGCAACCGCGAGCCCUUUGCCCAGGUGUGGAGAGAGGGUAGGAAGGAAGAGAAUGGGGGAAGGAGACUGUAUGACCAAUUGCAUCCUUAUGAAGUUCCAGUACAUGUAUUUAUUUUUACAUGUACAUAGGUUCCUUGUAAUUGGUAUUCAGCAAGGUCUGCAACUGAGAUGUGUGUCAGGUGGAGCUGCCAGGAAGUCUUUGCUGAAAGGGUUGGAGGUGCUUUUAUGACUCUCAGAUAGAAAUCCAAGCUCGAGAUACAAAACUAUUAUUCAUCAUAAAAUAUUGCUAACACUGAAGAACAUUCUCAAGCAUUUCACUGGAUUUUAUGCUGGAGUGAAGGAAAUGAACUGUUCAGGGGUUGUGUAAUUGUUAUUAAAAGGUUCUUCAACAUACAUAAAAAUUAUACCUGAGCUGAAACUGUUCAUUAAAGAUGAGUGAAAACUACUGAAGUGGGCUGUUCUUUUUCCCCUGGAUAUCACUACAGGCCUUCUUAAUAUAUUACACAGAUACUAAUUUGUUUGCCUUGGAGGUCUGUGAUAAUUCGUCAGUGAAGUGAGUUUCCAGAGAAAAUGGAAAAUAGGAAUAAAUGAGAAGAGAAGAAUAAUGAGAUUUGCUGG